This 352-nucleotide ribosomal RNA is filed under the name uncultured bacterium. RNAcentral's name for it is "partial 16S ribosomal RNA". It matches the Rfam family "Bacterial small subunit ribosomal RNA", at positions 338 to 682 of the family's 1533-position model. The record is from RNAcentral.
CCUACGGGAGGCAGCAGUGGGGAAUAUUGCGCAAUGGGCGAAAGCCUGACGCAGCGACGCCGCGUGAGGGAUGAAGGUCUUCGGAUCGUAAACCUCUGUCAGCAGGGAAGAACGGUCACGGUGCUAAUCAGCAGUGAAUUGACGGUACCUGCAAAGGAAGCACCGGCUAACUCCGUGCCAGCAGCCGCGGUAAUACGGAGGGGGCGAGCGUUAAUCGGAAUGACGGGGCGUAAAGCGCUCGUAGGCGGUAUGUCAAGUCAAGGGUGAAAUCCCCGCGCUCAACUUGGGAACUGCCUUUGAAACUGCCAACCUGGCGUGUGUGAGAGGCUAGUGGAAUUCCAGGUGUAGCGGU